UGAACGCUGGCGGUAGGCCUAACACAUGCAAGUCGAACGGCAGCACAGUAAGAGCUUGCUCUUACGGGUGGCGAGUGGCGGACGGGUGAGGAAUACAUCGGAAUCUACUUUUUCGUGGGGGAUAACGUAGGGAAACUUACGCUAAUACCGCAUACGACCUACGGGUGAAAGCAGGGGAUCUUCGGACCUUGCGCGAUUGAAUGAGCCGAUGUCGGAUUAGCUAGUUGGCGGGGUAAAGGCCCACCAAGGCGACGAUCCGUAGCUGGUCUGAGAGGAUGAUCAGCCACACUGGAACUGAGACACGGUCCAGACUCCUACGGGAGGCAGCAGUGGGGAAUAUUGGACAAUGGGCGCAGGCCUGAUCCAGCCAUACCGCGUGGGUGAAGAAGGCCUUCGGGUUGUAAAGCCCUUUUGUUGGGAAAGAAAAGCAGCAGGUUAAUACCCCGCUGUUCUGACGGUACCCAAAGAAUAAGCACCGGCUAACUUCGUG
Molecule: ribosomal RNA, 490 nt
Filed under: uncultured bacterium
Lineage: Bacteria
Description: partial 16S ribosomal RNA
Rfam family: Bacterial small subunit ribosomal RNA
Source: RNAcentral